Photinus pyralis (common eastern firefly) is the source of this 823-nucleotide long non-coding RNA. RefSeq lists it as uncharacterized. The transcript has 4 exons. Lineage: Eukaryota; Metazoa; Arthropoda; Insecta; Coleoptera; Lampyridae. The record is from RefSeq and is a predicted model, not a curated record.
AAGAUCCAGACAUCGACGAGAUCAGAUCGGGAUUUACAUAAAUGCAUUUGAGUUAUUUAUUACUACACGAACGCGCUCGAGUCGUAAUGUUUAUUUUUGUUGAGGUUAAGGUUAUGGUACGGUGAAAAAAAACGUUUAUAAGAUUCUCCCAUUUGUGGUAAAUUUAAUUAACAGCUUUUGAAAUGGACACAUACUAUUUAUGCCAACAGUGUAACUGCGAAUUUGAAAAUUUGGAAGACGCGACUGAACACUGUGAAACCUUCCAUUCAAAUGCGAGCACUUCUAUAAAUGCAUAUUUCAAUGAUGCUCAUAUUGUUACGGAAUGUGUAAAUCAGGAAAGACAGCAGAGCGAAACACAGGAAGAGACCUCUCGAGUAACACCUAUAGAAUCGACAGAAUCACACGAGGGAGACGAAAAUAAACUAUGGCCACAGGAAAAUACGUUCCUUUUAAUACACGUAAUCGAGAUGUAUUAGGGGAGCGAAGGGUAAUCACGAACAGCGGCUAAUGGCGAACAUCCAUUUGUAUCUUGCAGUGCCAACUAUUGGCAUUUACAUACAGUUAAAUAUAAAAGAAAAUGCUAUGACAAGUUGGUCGGUACAGCGCAAAGGAACCUAGCCUCCCGUUUAUGAGAGUUAUGGCGAUUUGUGAAUUUGUAUGUGCUUUGUUAUUAAAACGUUUUAUGCAAAAUUAAGGUCGUUUCGGGGAAUCACGGACACUGUGUUCGGCAUUACCAGACAUGCGACUAAGCGCCGGAAACAAAAGUCUGAGAUUCUUACAUCUACACCUUUUAAGGCUACGUUAGAAGAGAAACAAAGAAAAA